CGCCGCGUGGAGGAUGAAGGUCUUUGGAUUGUAAACUCCUUUCGAUCGGGACGAUUAUGACGGUACCGGAAGAAGAAGCACCGGCUAACUCUGUGC
This 96-nucleotide ribosomal RNA is filed under the name uncultured bacterium. RNAcentral describes it as "partial 16S ribosomal RNA". It matches the Rfam family "Bacterial small subunit ribosomal RNA", at positions 395 to 508 of the family's 1533-position model. The record is from RNAcentral.